Molecule: small nuclear RNA, 171 nt
Gene: U2
Rfam family: U2 spliceosomal RNA
About the family: U2 is a small nuclear RNA (snRNA) component of the spliceosome (involved in pre-mRNA splicing). Complementary binding between U2 snRNA (in an area lying towards the 5' end but 3' to hairpin I) and the branchpoint sequence (BPS) of the intron results the bulging out of an unpaired adenosine, on the BPS, which initiates a nucleophilic attack at the intronic 5' splice site, thus starting the first of two transesterification reactions that mediate splicing.
Source: Ensembl
GUCAUUAAAUUUUUUUCAAAUAAAAAAUCUGUUCUUAUCAGUUUAACUCGGUACGCCCCUAACUGGGGUCCAUAUUUAAAUUGAUUUUUGGAACUGGGAGAUGGAAAAGGGGGCUUGCUGCCUCCUCCACCUCGACCUGGUAUUGCAGCACCUCCGGGAACUGCACCCCCU